Molecule: non-coding RNA, 24 nt
Filed under: Arabidopsis thaliana (thale cress)
Lineage: Eukaryota; Viridiplantae; Streptophyta; Magnoliopsida; Brassicales; Brassicaceae
Source: RNAcentral
GGGUGGGACCCACAGCGAAUGGUU